Molecule: long non-coding RNA, 463 nt
Organism: Dendroctonus ponderosae (mountain pine beetle)
Lineage: Eukaryota; Metazoa; Arthropoda; Insecta; Coleoptera; Curculionidae
Exons: 3
Source: RefSeq, a predicted model, not a curated record
AACAUGCAAAGCAACCAGAAAACCAAGAAUCUUUCGCAGUCAUUCAAGCAGUGGAUCAUACUGGAAAACAAAUACGUGAGAUCUGAAUUACAAUGUAAGCAUCGGAGCAUUGCCCUAAUGGAAACGCCUCUAGAGUGGUGCAAACUUUUUAAUUAAGUUGCUUUGAAACGAAGUAUUUGUAGUUUGACCCAGGCUGGAUGGCAUUUGCGAUCGAAAUUUAUUUAUAAAAGAGGCGGAGUUUUUAUCAAUUAUAUCCAGUUGUGACAAACGAGCUUGCUGGUAGAGGAAUAUACGAAAAGAACAGGAAAACCAUGAAUUGCAGCUAUAAGAAAAAUAUGAAAUAUUGGAGGCGACGCUGACAUUCCCACCAAACCUUUCAUCUUGAUUGAUUCCAAAUCGAAGACCCAUAAUUACGAUUAGAAGCUAAAACAAUUAAUAAAUGCUUUUAUUAUUUCAAUCUUCA